UUGCCUCAGUAACGGCGAGUGAAGCGGCAACAGCUCAAAUUUGAAAUCUGGCUUCGGUCCGAGUUGUAAUUUGUAGAGGAUGCUUCGGCUUACGUACCGGUCUAAGUUCCUUGGAACAGGACGUCACAGAGGGUGAGAAUCCCGUUUGUGGCCGGCACUUCCGCCAUGUGAAGCUCCUUCGACGAGUCGAGUUGUUUGGGAAUGCAGCUCUAAAUGGGAGGUAAAUUUCUUCUAAAGCUAAAUACCGGCCAGAGACCGAUAGCGCACAAGUAGAGUGAUCGAAAGAUGAAAAGCACUUUGGAAAGAGAGUUAAAAAGUACGUGAAAUUGUUGAAAGGGAAGCGCUUGCGACCAGACUUGCCUGCGGAUGCUCAACCGGUCCUUCGGCCGGUGCACUCUUCCGCGGUCAGGCCAGCAUCAGUUCGGGCGGUCGGAUAAAGGCCUUGGGAAUGUGGCUCUCUUCGGGGAGUGUUAUAGCCCUUGGUGCAAUACGGCCCGCCUGGACUGAGGCCCGCGCUUCGGCUAGGAUGCUGGCGUAAUGGUCGUAAGCGGCCCGUCUUGAAACACGGACCAAGGAGUCUAACAUCUAUGCGAGUGUUUGGGUGUCAAACCCGUGCGCGAAAUGAAAGUGAACGGAGGUGGGAACCUUAGGGUGCACCAUCGACCGAUCCUGAUGUCUUCGGAUGGAUUUGAGUAAGAGCAUAGCUGUUGGGACCCGAAAGAUGGUGAACUAUGCCUGAAUAGGGUGAAGCCAGAGGAAACUCUGGUGGAGGCUCGCAGCGGUUCUGACGUGCAA
Molecule: ribosomal RNA, 795 nt
Filed under: Neohelicosporium irregulare
Lineage: Eukaryota; Fungi; Ascomycota; Dothideomycetes; Tubeufiales; Tubeufiaceae
Description: partial large subunit ribosomal RNA
Rfam family: Eukaryotic large subunit ribosomal RNA
Source: RNAcentral